GGAGGGACCUGCUGCAGGGACAGAGCAGGCUGGGGAUGUGACUGGGGAUGUGACUGGGGAUGUAUCAGCUGUCACAGCCUGACGUGGGUGUCCUGAGGGAGCUCAGUGGGGACAGAACCCUCCCAUGGAGCACAAGGGCAGAAACUCACUUCAUGCCCAUUUUCAGUGCAAACACAGCCCAUGAGAGUGAGGCCUCAUGAUUCUUCUGCCUUUUGGUGUUUUAAGCAGGAGGUGUUAGGAAAAUUUCCACAGGGGGGUCUGGAUUGUGGCAGCCAAGUGCUCAUAGCACCCUUGCUUUUUGAUCCUUUCAUAUUGGCUCUUCCUAUCCUUGGGAAUCAGAGUUCACCCGGCAUUGGAUUGCUCACCUGUCAUAGGGGAUGUGAGCUGGGAUUAGGUCAUUCUGAGCUGGGAUUAGAUC
Taeniopygia guttata (zebra finch) is the source of this 418-nucleotide non-coding RNA. The record is from Rfam. NCBI's taxonomy places the organism in Eukaryota, Metazoa, Chordata, Aves, Passeriformes, Estrildidae.